GCCCCACAAGGCCGCGCGUCGCGGACUACGAGCCCCACAAGGCCGCGCGUCCCGGACUACGAGCCCCACAAGGCCGCGCGGAGGGCACGCGGGACCCGUAGUUCUACCGCCGCCACCACGUGCCCGGAGGGCCCCGCCCCCUGCGUUUCACCACAAACUCAGUCGCACAAAAACCCUGGAAAAAAAUCAAUAAACAUUUAUUUGAUACA
This is a long non-coding RNA of Cercocebus atys (sooty mangabey), 209 nucleotides long. RefSeq lists it as uncharacterized. The transcript is spliced from 2 exons. Lineage: Eukaryota; Metazoa; Chordata; Mammalia; Primates; Cercopithecidae. The record is from RefSeq and is a predicted model, not a curated record.